RNAcentral lists this ribosomal RNA (253 nucleotides) under uncultured bacterium. RNAcentral describes it as "partial 16S ribosomal RNA". It matches the Rfam family "Archaeal small subunit ribosomal RNA", at positions 474 to 727 of the family's 1478-position model. The record is from RNAcentral.
UACCAGCACCCCGAGUGGUCGGGACGAUUAUUGGGCCUAAAGCAUCCGUAGCCGGUUCUACAAGUCUUCCGUUAAAUCCACCUGCUCAACAGAUGGGCUGCGGAGGAUACUAUAGAGCUAGGAGGCGGGAGAGGCAAGCGGUACUUAGCGGGUAGGGGUAAAAUCCGUUGAUCCAUUGAAGACCACCAGUGGCGAAGGCGGCUUGCCAGAACGCACUCGACGGUGAGGGAUGAAAGCUGGGGGAGCAAACCGG